GCCUACACCCUACACUAGAGAAGGGGUGAGAGAAGCCUACACCCUACACUAGAGAAGGGGUGAGAGAAGUGAAGGGGUGAGAGAAGCCUACACCCUACACUAGAGAAGGGAUGGGGUAGGGGUGAGAGAAGCCUACACCCUACACUAGAGAAGGGAUGGGGUAGGGGUGAGAGAAGCCUACACCCUACACUAGAGAAGGGAUGGGGUAGGGGUGAGUGUUAUGUCGCCAGCCCCCCAAACAUAACACUGUCCUAUAAUAUAACCGGAUGAACUCCUUUAUGAAUGGGCUUUGUAAUGGUUGUUUUGAUCAAAUGUCUGGCAAUCCUGUGGUAAGUGAUUCAUUGAUGCUGUAAAGCAAUUAGCAUUGGAAUAAAUACUGGAAUAAAUAGUUGAUUGAUUUGAUGGA
Long non-coding RNA from Oncorhynchus tshawytscha (Chinook salmon), 406 nucleotides. RefSeq lists it as uncharacterized. Lineage: Eukaryota; Metazoa; Chordata; Actinopteri; Salmoniformes; Salmonidae. The transcript is spliced from 2 exons. The record is from RefSeq and is a predicted model, not a curated record.